UACGAAGGGGGCUAGCGUUGCUCGGAAUCACUGGGCGUAAAGCGCACGUAGGCGGCUUCUUAAGUCAGGGGUGAAAUCCUGGAGCUCAACUCCAGAACUGCCUUUGAUACCGAGAGGCUUGAGUCCGGGAGAGGUGAGUGGAACUGCGAGUGUAGAGGUGAAAUUCGUAGAUAUUCGCAAGAACACCAGUGGCGAAGGCGGCUCACUGGCCCGGUACUGACGCUGAGGUGCGAAAGCGUGGGGAGCAAACAGG
This 253-nucleotide ribosomal RNA is filed under the name uncultured bacterium. RNAcentral's name for it is "partial 16S ribosomal RNA". It matches the Rfam family "Bacterial small subunit ribosomal RNA", at positions 524 to 776 of the family's 1533-position model. The record is from RNAcentral.